Molecule: ribosomal RNA, 558 nt
Filed under: uncultured Glomus
Lineage: Eukaryota; Fungi; Glomeromycota; Glomeromycetes; Glomerales; Glomeraceae
Description: SSU rRNA
Rfam family: Eukaryotic small subunit ribosomal RNA
Source: RNAcentral
UUGGAGGGCAAGUCUGGUGCCAGCAGCCGCGGUAAUUCCAGCUCCAAUAGCGUAUAUUAAAGUUGUUGCAGUUAAAAAGCUCGUAGUUGAAUUUCGGGAUUGACGUAUUGGUCGUGCCCUAAGGGGUAUGAACUGAUAUUGUUGAUUUCUCACCUUCUGGUGAAUCAUAAUGCCCUUAAUUGGGUGUCAUGUGGAACCAGGACCUUUACCUUGAAAAAAUUAGAGUGUUUAAAGCAGGCAUUUAUUGCUCGAAUACAUUAGCAUGGAAUGAUAAAAUAGGACGGAUUUGAUUCUAUUUUGUUGGUUUCUAGGAUCACCGUAAUGAUUAAUAGGGAUAGUUGGGGGCAUUAGUAUUCAAUUGUCAGAGGUGAAAUUCUUGGAUUUAUUGAAGACUAGCUACUGCGAAAGCAUUUGCCAAGGAUGUUUUCAUUAAUCAAGAACGAAAGUUAGGGGAUCGAAGACGAUCAGAUACCGUCGUAGUCUUAACCAUAAACUAUGCCGACUAGGAAUCAGACGAUGUUAAUUUUUUAAUGACUCGUUUGGCACCUUACGGGAAAC